This 873-nucleotide ribosomal RNA is filed under the name uncultured bacterium. RNAcentral describes it as "bacterial SSU rRNA". It matches the Rfam family "Bacterial small subunit ribosomal RNA", at positions 9 to 873 of the family's 1533-position model. The record is from RNAcentral.
AGAGUUUGAUCCUGGCUCAGAUUGAACGCUGGCGGCAUGCUUUACACAUGCAAGUCGAACGGUAACAGGCCGCAAGGUGCUGACGAGUGGCGAACGGGUGAGUAAUGCAUCGGAACGUGCCCAAUCGUGGGGGAUAACGCAGCGAAAGCUGUGCUAAUACCGCAUACGAUCUACGGAUGAAAGCGGGGGACUCGCAAGAGCCUCGCGCGAUUGGAGCGGCCGAUGUCAGAUUAGGUAGUUGGUGGGGUAAAGGCUCACCAAGCCAACGAUCUGUAGCUGGUCUGAGAGGACGACCAGCCACACUGGAACUGAGACACGGUCCAGACUCCUACGGGAGGCAGCAGUGGGGAAUUUUGGACAAUGGGCGCAAGCCUGAUCCAGCAAUGCCGCGUGCAGGAAGAAGGCCUUCGGGUUGUAAACUGCUUUUGUACGGAACGAAACGGUCUGGAUUAAUACCCUGGGCUAAUGACGGUACCGUAAGAAUAAGCACCGGCUAACUACGUGCCAGCAGCCGCGGUAAUACGUAGGGUGCGAGCGUUAAUCGGAAUUACUGGGCGUAAAGCGUGCGCAGGCGGUUUUGUAAGACAGUCGUGAAAUCCCCGGGCUCAACCUGGGAAUGGCGAUUGUGACUGCAAGGCUGGAGUGCGGCAGAGGGGGAUGGAAUUCCGCGUGUAGCAGUGAAAUGCGUAGAUAUGCGGAGGAACACCGAUGGCGAAGGCAAUCCCCUGGGCCUGCACUGACGCUCAUGCACGAAAGCGUGGGGAGCAAACAGGAUUAGAUACCCUGGUAGUCCACGCCCUAAACGAUGUCAACUGGUUGUUGGGUCUCUUCUGACUCAGUAACGAAGCUAACGCGUGAAGUGACCCGCCUGGA